AAAGGAAAGAAGAGAAACGGCUGUUAGCACGCAGCAGUUGGCAUGUGGGCCCCAAGGACCCAAUCUCACAGAAACAGCAAGUCAGUCGCGCACUGGCAGCACCGCGCCUGCAGAGAACAGCAAAUAUGCAGAGCCCCAAACGCAACACGCCCUCUGCCAGCACCCGCUUCUCCUGAAAACCCCUCUCCAAUUUUUAUUUAGCACUGCUUUUCUGCUUAUUUACUCAAGAUGACACAGCCAUGCUAGCGAAACCAAACCAAACCGCAUGCACAGCUCGCGUGCACUGCUGCUGAACCGAGCUGAUGGGGAAUGUUUCCACCUUGUGCCCCUUAAUAGCUUUACACUUCUUUUAUUUGUUGAAGUAGAAAGAAACUCAAGAGCCCGGUAUAUUUAUUAAUAAAACCCAAGCUGGUCAGGAAACUACUAUCAUGUCUAAUCCCAGAGUCUCUCAUUGCCAGCCAAGCACCAAGGCGUACUCAGAAAUAACACAAGCGGGCGCCAGCGGCCGACAACUGCCGGUCUGCUGAAACCCGCACCAGCAGCACAGAGCUCCGGCUUCAUCUCAAAAGGCAAACUGGGUCAAUUCCACAUUGUCAACUUCACAUUUCAAUCCCAGUCAAUUAGUCUGAGUCACUGAUUUUUUUUCCCAUGUCUUUCAUUCAAUGCAUUUACAACUAUUCAAGUUAAACAGACUAAAAUGGUUGGUAUAACCUCAAGAUAAGGCUACUUGGAGUACGGUUUCAUGGUUGCAUACGGUUGUGCCUAAUUGCAAUGUAAAAAUACAAUUUACUUAUUUUAAACAAAAAGAUCAUCAGGAGCAGGUUUUAUUCUGAAAAUCCUAGAAUUCUGAAAAAAAACUUUUUAGCUUGAAAAAAAAAGCUAAUUUGCUUAACAAAAACGUGUAGUGUAGGAAUUUACAGUAAAAAAUACCAAACUAUAAAUACCAAGCUACAUGCAGUACGCUUUUGUUAGUCUUGAAACUAAGCUAAAACCACCAAAAAACUGUAUUUUGCAUUGGGUUACCAUUUCACAUGUUGGGUUACCAAUUCACAUCCAUGAUGAAAGAAUGAAAACAAAGUAAAAUAAAAAGCAAAACAUCCCCCAGCUAACUCAACCAAUUCCCAACCGAGACCAGCAAACUGCCGGUAAGACACCUUACUUUGCCUGACUGAUCUGGAAUAAUAACAUUUACUAACAUAUCUCAAGGAUUUUAAACAAACAUGAGAGGUCUCAAGAGUCUGUCCUAUGACAACACAUACCUAAAACCACCAUAAAAAAAAAAAAAAAGAGGGAUUUUCUUAAGGUCACUGAGCAAAUUAAUGGAAGCACUCCAAGGGCCCCAUUUCACCCAGCUUCCCACUGUGACCUCUACCACCAGCAAGCUAAAAUUCAUAAAUAAAAAGUCAGUCUCUGCAGAUCACUAGCAGCUACAACAGUUCACGGACAUGAAUUGUUCAGAUAUUGCUUGUUUUGAUAUAUAAAUAACACUCAGUAAUCUACUCCCAAGAGAGGAAAUAACCAUCAACGCUUUUUGUAACUGUUUUUCACAUUAUUUUAUGCAUCCUUUUUUCUUCAGCAGGUUAUUAAUACAUACUGCUUCUGGCAUAUAUACAAAGGAUGUUUAUUAUGAGAGAAAUGUUUUACUGGCUAACAAUAGCAUAUCUAUUAAGAAAUCUAAAUAUAAAUGCCAAAAGGAAAUUUAUUGGCCAUUUGAAUACUUUAUUUACUCACUCAAGGUUUAGCACUGAGAAUUCAAACAAGGCUAACAAGACUCAGACACCCUCACGCUAACCGAAGAAGCAGCAGUAUCAGCAUAUACUUAUCCACAAAAAUAAGGAAACUAAAUAAAGCAUUUUUUCUCCCUGAAUUAACAACUGAUAAGGUUGUUAGUAAGGUUGUGUUACUUUGUCAACACAAGUCUCUUGUGUAUAUUAAGAUCCGGGCAAGCAUAAGAUCAGCUUUGCUCUACUAAUUCUAAGCAACCUCAACACUCCACCAACUUGCAAAGUGGUGAAGUCCAGCGUAGUAACAACUGCAUUUAUUUAUCGCCUCUAGCAAAAAUAUUAAAGAAUAACUCACAUAUUGAUACUGGAGGAUAUGCAGAUCCAAUUUCUCCGUAACAGUAAAAUUAAUGGAACUGUUACAAAUUUGCAUCACAGAUAAAAGAAUGCCAGCAAGUGACGAACAUAUGCAAGCAGCAUAAUUUAUUAUUCAAAUGAGUUUUCUGUUCUUUCCUCCUAACUCAUCUGUAUCCGUAAGACAUUCAGGUAAAAAUUAUCCUUCUGUAGUAUACUUGGGCAGUCACUUUAUCCCAAUAUUUGAUUUUGCAGCGGAUUUAAAAUUGUCUCACAUAACACCUCCAACAGCAUCUCUCCCAUCCGAGUUAUUCUUAGAUCCUCUUGUGCAGCCAGAAACACAUCAACCUCGGUUAUACACAAAGCAAAUAAUGGUGCCUUGACUUUCAGUCAUCCAUCCACUUUCAAAGUACAGAAAAAUCACCUGUUUAGUAACAGCUCUUCUCCUUCAUCUGAAGGGACAGAAUUUAAAAUAAAUAUGCAUAUGUACAUAUAUUUUUGAAAGUUAAAAUGCUGCCCUGUUGCUUGUAACUACUAUUAGAAAAGCACAGCCCAUACGGUGGCUUUACGCUGUGUACAAGUCACUGACAGAGGCAAGCUACAAGAGCGAAGUAGCGUGGGAUGUUAAAAAAAAAAACAAAAAACACUAAUGUACCGCUAAUUAAGAUUAUAGGCAGAACCGAGUAUGGCACUGAAUGUCAUAUUUCUACAACUGCUGCUAGUGACCAACCCAAGCUCCAUUUACUAAACCUAGAACAAAAAAAAAAAAAAAAAAAAAAAAACUGCCUAAACCCAAACAAGAACAAUCAUCACUGUUCCAUCUUUAUCGCAGGCUUCAUUUCAAUUGCAUUGCACAGAGGCAAAGUGACAGAAAAUACGGUGCUGGCAGCCAAUGUCACCUUUUCGGGCAGACACCAGCCCAGUUACACAAACAGGAGAUAUGGAGGAAAACACGUUUGUGCCAGCUCUGGCAGACAGGAAAACCAACAUGUCUCUCUUGUACAAAGCCACUCACACCUCUUACUGGUUCUUUGCUUUCCUUCCAGCAGGACAAUUUUCUUGUUUUCUAAACUUUGCCACUUCUGCAGCAUUCAGGUAAGUUUUAAAGGCCGUUCUCAACAUAUAGGAUGUGCCUGGGCUAAUUCUUUAGGCACUGAGGAUUUGAAUACAAUCAAUGCUAGAUCAUCUUGUACAGUAAAAUUGAUCUUUGAAAGCAAAUUAAUCAAUUCAUACGGAACGCAGAGAAUUCAGUGUUCCUACAGAAGGAAGGCAGGCGCUGGGCAUUGCAAAAGGGAAGGUCACAGUGCCUAACCACAGGGCCCAGCCUUUGCUAAAUCUCAAGUCCAAUAAUCACCACCAGUUAAGGUCCAGCACAGUGCUUUACAAAGAUCCAAAUGUCAAGAGAUUGAACAGAAGCAGCAAAGCCCAUGAGCGGACGUUAUGAAGAACAGAAUGAUCACACUGGAGACAAACCCAGGGGACGGACAGCCAGCCUGCCGUGCCCGGGAGUUCCCCCAGUUGGGAGCUCGGUUCCAAAGGGCAGCGAGCUGGGCAAGAUCGAGCCUCCCUCCUACCGCAUCCAGCUGUGCGGACAACUCACUGACAGGCGAACAGGGAACAGAGCAUUCCCUCUGUUCCUAAUGCCCAAGAUUAUCUGGGGACCAGAACUACUACACAGGGUGUCAGUGGCCUUCAGCUGACCAAAUGAUUGUUACAGUUCCUUCCUACAUGUGCAUGUGAGCGUUGUUUUUUUAAUAGAUGUGGGGGUUUUUGUUGUUUUUUUGUUUGUUCUGUUUUUUAAGAUAAUGGAAGCAUAUCCUCUUGCCAUGCAUGACUGAGUUCACUAUUAAUGCAAUUACUGGGUUACAAGAAUCUUAAAUUAGAUGUUUCCACAGUACAAAGCACACUGAAAAUUUCAUCGUGAUUGCUGCUGAUCUAUCUGGACUCAGCAGUUCAGCUGAAUUAUAAACCUUGACAGGGUGCAGGUCUAAUGAAUAUCACACUGAGCCGAGGCCCCCUUUUGUAUUAUCGCAUCCACUUUCCCCCCCUUUAUAUGUCACAGGCAGGAGAGAAGUUAUAAAAAGGCAACAGACUCAAAAAAUUAACUCAGCCAAAAAUGAAUCCAUCAUCUACACCUUCAUACGUUAAAGCUUUAUUCAGCAAUCAGAAGUUGUCAAGCCAGAAGUCUGGUUGUAAAACUAAAACGUGAACAGCUCACCACUGUUCGCAUAUAGGAAAACCGUACUCCUGAAGAACAAAGUUGUAUUCUGGGCCCAAGGGUAAAGGGAAUCCUGCAAAGGGGACAGGGAAGACUGAAGCAGAACAGGGCGCACGAGUAACUGACUGAAAGGCAGCCGGUACAGAUCCCUUCCUCCCACGAGGAGUUGAAGCCCGUCUCUGUCACAACCCCUGGCACCUCCGAGCAGGGCAGCGAGUGCAGCGUGUUUGGGUGUUGGGAUCCAAACAGAGCUGCAAAUGCACAACUCCACAGCCAGGGGCACAUACCGUACCCUACCUGCUUCCCAGCGAGACAGAGGCAAAACCACCUCGGCAGGGGCCAGGCUGGACAUCGGACCCCUGCCCCAGGGGGAUGAACCCGGCUCAACGCAGGCUCCUCGAAGCCACCCCGUCGCCCAUCCCGCCGCCCGGCUGUUUAACCGGCUCACUGCAGACCAUCACAAAGCGCAGCCCCUUCCCGAGAGCCUGAAGCGCUCAGGGCGCUCGGGUUGGCACCCCGAUGAGGAAGGGGAAGCCGCGAGCUUGACACAAAGGGCUUUCGGAAGGACCUUCCUGGGGCAGCGCGGGCACAGAAUAGCUCAGCGCCUCAGCCACGCACCGCCGGGCGCUGCCCCGGGCAGCUCAGGGUAACGGGCAGAGGCAGGAGGGGGAGCAGCGCAGAACAGGCGGCUUUUGUUACUUCCGAGCUCCCGCUCCGCAGAAGCUAAAGGAAGGUGAGAGGGGGAAAAAAGCAUGCCCAGGACAACAGUUGUUGUACCCAUGGAUCACAAACUACGGGCUGGACCAUGAAGAUGGUAAGAAGGCUUAGCCGAUUCCACGUUAUAACUGUGUGAACACUGAGCAGCUUAAAGCAAGCAAUACAAUUGUUCUCAUCCAGAACAACAAACCAAAGCUCAGGAUACACAGAAAUGAGUGAACAUUGCUUUGAGCAAAAUAGGAAGACCUAGUGCACAUUCUCGUAGCUGGCCAGCAUAUGAAGGAGGACUCCCACCUAAGAGUUCUCAUUUUGCAGUACGGAAGAGAAUCCAGGUGAAUGGGCAGUGUACAGUGUCCAUUACAAAUAAUGGCCCUGAUGGAGCAGCACAACCUCUGACAACAAUUUUAUGGAACAACAUCCCCAGCAGCAUGAGACGAAGAAAACAUUGGUAAACAGGAAGCGUUCGUUCUGAAAAGGAGCUACAGAGGAUGGAAAGACAUGAAAGACAAGGAAGCCAGCCAAACCUCUUAGAUGUGGGAACAAAGCCACUGACUGUUUCCAAACAAAUUCUGGAAUAAGACUGUUCUUUUUAUGAGGAUGAUUAUAAACAAGACACCAAGGUGCAGUUCCCCAGCUCUACCACAACCCUCAUGUAAGACUUUCACCAAAUCACCCUGCUUCCUUUCCCAUCUGUAACAAUGGGAGAAAUAACUUCUUCCACCAUUCUUUACUAGUUGUUUGCUUAGCUCAUUAAUUCAGUGGGGUAGGAAAUAUGUCAUGUACAGUAAUUGCAACAUGCUUAACACAGUAGAAUUCUGAUUUAGUAGGACUUGCCUUAGAUACCUACACACCCUAGUACUCCUACAAUCAUCAUCAUUACUAGAGAUCUUCAUAAUAGCUAAGUUCUGAGUACAUAAACCAACCCUGGUCCAAGGUAGGAGGUCAAUUUUUUUUUUUAUUUUAAUUUCUCAGUAAAAAUAACUGCUCUUACUAAAUAAAAAGUGUUAAUGGAAGCAACUUCUUCUGUUACUUGAAAAAUACAGCUUUGCAGCUGUUUGGUCAGUGGCAAACAUACUAUCACGUUUUUCUCAAAAUCACCACCUUCACCUGCUCACAGGGGAACUGGAUACCUUGCACUCAUUCCUGUUUUAGACCAUUCCAACACUUUGCAUCAACAUUUUAGAAUAAAUUGGUCCAAAAUGUUACCAUCUUGCUGCAUAUACAGACUACUAUCCUCAUUCUACACAUAAGGAAACCGAAUCAUAGACCCAGAAACCAGGCUUUUACAACCAACUUAACAAGACCGCCCAUAAUAUUUUCGUUCUGAGAGAACGUUCCUCAGUGCAACUAUCUGUCUCAAUUAUAUUAAUCUAUUCCUCAGAUUUAAAAACAACUUAAUUAAAGCUACCAUUGAGCACAUGCAACCUUGGUUGAGAAAGGAUAUUUGAAAAGCAAAUGCUUCUCCCCGCCCUUGCACGGCUCCAAUUCACAAAGUAAAAAUUCACCAGUAAGAAAGAAAAUGCCAUUUCUUGCAUACAACUUCUACCAGUUACCAAGUGCUUCAGAAAGAAGAAAGGGACACUAGAAAGAGUGAAUAUGACAUUUCCUCUGUCCUAUAAAAUAUUAUUUUAAAACGUAAAGGGAAUUUUGAGUCCCAUUAACUAAAUAAACAAACAAU
Long non-coding RNA from Cygnus olor (mute swan), 6688 nucleotides. RefSeq lists it as uncharacterized. NCBI's taxonomy places the organism in Eukaryota, Metazoa, Chordata, Aves, Anseriformes, Anatidae. The record is from RefSeq and is a predicted model, not a curated record. The transcript has 5 exons.